This 53-nucleotide small RNA is filed under the name Rhodopseudomonas julia. RNAcentral describes it as "ffh sRNA". It matches the Rfam family "ffh sRNA". Lineage: Bacteria; Pseudomonadati; Pseudomonadota; Alphaproteobacteria; Hyphomicrobiales; Nitrobacteraceae. RNAcentral also lists the same sequence under 1 other name. The record is from RNAcentral.
GAUUCCGGAGGUCACCAUCCGCCAGCGAAGGUUCGCCCGCGGAUGCAAUUUGC